RNAcentral lists this ribosomal RNA (521 nucleotides) under uncultured soil bacterium. RNAcentral's name for it is "bacterial SSU rRNA". It matches the Rfam family "Bacterial small subunit ribosomal RNA", at positions 135 to 632 of the family's 1533-position model. The record is from RNAcentral.
AGUUCGGAAUAACCCGCCGAAAGGUGGGCUAAUACCGGAUAAAGCUCCCGGUUCAAUAAAACUGGGAACCAAAGAUGGCCAAUGCUUGCAAGCUAUCACUUGAGGAGGGGCCCGCGGCCCAUUAGCUAGUUGGCGGGGUAAUGGCCCACCAAGGCGACGAUGGGUAGCCGGCCUGAGAGGGCGAUCGGCCACAUUGGAACUGAGACACGGUCCAGACUCCUACGGGAGGCAGCAGUGAGGAAUCUUGCGCAAUGGGCGAAAGCCUGACGCAGCAACGCCGCGUGGGUGAUGAAGGCCUUCGGGUCGUAAAACCCUGUCAGGUGGGAAGAAUCGGGUGGGGGCUAAUAUCCUCCACUCCUGACUGUACCACCGGAGGAAGCCCCGGCUAACUCCGUGCCAGCAGCCGCGGUAAUACGGAGGGGGCCAGCGUUGUUCGGAAUUAUUGGGCGUAAAGGGCGCGUAGGCGGUCGAGUAAGUCUGACGUGAAAUCCCUUGGCUCAACCAAGGAACUGCGUCUUAAA